GUAUAUUUCAAUACUACUAGCAGAGCAUCUAAAAAAAUUCCAUCUGAAUAAAUUCUUGAGUUCAGUAGUUUGGAUGCACUUAGACGCCCACAUAUAUUCAGUUAACUGCACCUGCACGGGCAUAUAUAUAUUGCAGCUGGAUGGUCAUCCCCUUGCUCCCGUUCCCCCUGCACGCGUGUGCGCCGCUAUCAUAGCGACAGGGUCCCGUGGACGAUGGAUCCCGCACCCUCCAGCGACUCCUGCUAGAUCCCUUAUGCAGCGAACUUGACACGGAGGCGGGAGGUGACGCUUGUGC
RNAcentral lists this long non-coding RNA (295 nucleotides) under Hordeum vulgare. RNAcentral describes it as "long non-coding RNA (HVUL_LNC019364)". The record is from RNAcentral. Lineage: Eukaryota; Viridiplantae; Streptophyta; Magnoliopsida; Poales; Poaceae.